This 495-nucleotide ribosomal RNA is filed under the name uncultured bacterium. RNAcentral describes it as "partial 16S ribosomal RNA". It matches the Rfam family "Bacterial small subunit ribosomal RNA", at positions 28 to 507 of the family's 1533-position model. The record is from RNAcentral.
GACGAACGCUGGCGGCGUGCCUAAUACAUGCAAGUAGAACGCUGAAGGAGGAGCUUGCUUCUCUGGAUGAGUUGCGAACGGGUGAGUAACGCGUAGGUAACCUGCCUGGUAGCGGGGGAUAACUAUUGGAAACGAUAGCUAAUACCGCAUAAGAGUAGAUGUUGCAUGACAUUUGCUUAAAAGGUGCAAUUGCAUCACUACCAGAUGGACCUGCGUUGUAUUAGCUAGUUGGUGGGGUAACGGCUCACCAAGGCGACGAUACAUAGCCGACCUGAGAGGGUGAUCGGCCACACUGGGACUGAGACACGGCCCAGACUCCUACGGGAGGCAGCAGUAGGGAAUCUUCGGCAAUGGACGGAAGUCUGACCGAGCAACGCCGCGUGAGUGAAGAAGGGUUUCGGAUCGUAAAGCUCUGUUGUAAGAGAAGAACGAGUGUGAGAGUGGAAAGUUCACACUGUGACGGUAGCUUACCAGAAAGGGACGGCUAACUACGUG